UAAUAAUAUUUUGAGUAAACUUGUAUGUAUAUUAACUACAUGUUAAAUGUAUUUAUUAGGGAUUUCUAAGCAACUGGAGAAGGCUGCAAAAAAGAAGGACUGCGAAAAACUUCGAGGGUGGGUGAAGAGUAUAAGAAACCACAUAUACUGGACUGCAGCAACCUCCACCACCGGGCCUGAGAGAGUGGCCAAAUGGUUCCCUAAGUGCCUUCAUCCACUGCGCAUUGCGCAAUACCAAUGGAUGGCUGCAGGAACGCCGGCCUUUCACAAGCUGGAGACAAUUCUCUCAACCAAGAGGAUUUUGAAAGCUGUGGCCAAACUCAGCCCACACCACCAGACUUAAUCUUUGGAGUCAUUCCAUGCCGUCAUCCUGCGCUUUGCUCCAAAGAAUGUUGUGUUUCCAUUUCUUGGAAUGUUGUGCAGACUGUACCUGGCAGCCCUGCACUACAAUGAAAACGCUGAGCGUGCACAAGCCACU
Long non-coding RNA from Gymnodraco acuticeps, 478 nucleotides. RefSeq lists it as uncharacterized. NCBI's taxonomy places the organism in Eukaryota, Metazoa, Chordata, Actinopteri, Perciformes, Bathydraconidae. The transcript is spliced from 3 exons. The record is from RefSeq and is a predicted model, not a curated record.